RNAcentral lists this ribosomal RNA (230 nucleotides) under uncultured bacterium. RNAcentral describes it as "partial 16S ribosomal RNA". It matches the Rfam family "Bacterial small subunit ribosomal RNA", at positions 118 to 351 of the family's 1533-position model. The record is from RNAcentral.
UGGGAAUCUGCCCAGUAGUGGGGGACAACAGCCGGAAACGGCUGCUAAUACCGCAUACGCCCUACGGGGGAAAGGGGGGGAUCUUCGGACCUCUCGCUAUUGGAUGAGCCCGCGUCGGAUUAGCUAGUUGGUAGGGUAAAGGCCUACCAAGGCUACGAUCCGUAACUGGUCUGAGAGGAUGAUCAGUCACACUGGAACUGAGACACGGUCCAGACUCCUACGGGAGGCAG